GAUGAACGCUAGCUACAGGCUUAACACAUGCAAGUCGAGGGACCGGCGCACGGGUGAGUAACACGUAUCACGCCUGCCCUUUACUCGGUGAUAGCCUUUCGAAAUAAAGAUUAAUACCCGCAAUAAAGGAUGGGGAUGCGUUCCAUUAGGUUGUUGGUGAGGUAACGGCUCACCAAGCCUUCGAUGGAUAGGGGUUCGGAGGGACAGGUCCCCCACGUUGGAACUGAGACCCGUUCCAAACUCCUACGGGAGGCAGCAGUGAGGAAUAUUGGUCAAUGGGCGGUAGCCUGACCCAGCCAAGUAGCGUGAAGGAUGAAGGCUUAUGGGUCGUAAACUUCUUUUAUAUAAGAAUAUGUAUUAUAUGAAUAAGGAUCGGCUAACUCCGUGCCAGCAGCCGCGGUAAUUC
RNAcentral lists this ribosomal RNA (406 nucleotides) under uncultured bacterium. RNAcentral's name for it is "partial 16S ribosomal RNA". It matches the Rfam family "Bacterial small subunit ribosomal RNA", at positions 28 to 526 of the family's 1533-position model. The record is from RNAcentral.